RNAcentral lists this transfer RNA (73 nucleotides) under Candidatus Burkholderia crenata. Its description in RNAcentral is "tRNA-Pseudo-TGC". It matches the Rfam family "tRNA", at positions 6 to 65 of the family's 71-position model. From Rfam's summary of the family: Transfer RNA (tRNA) molecules are approximately 80 nucleotides in length. The record is from RNAcentral. Lineage: Bacteria; Pseudomonadati; Pseudomonadota; Betaproteobacteria; Burkholderiales; Burkholderiaceae.
GAGAUAGCUCAGUUGGGAGAGCAACUGCUUUGCAAGCAGAAGGUCGUUGGUUCAAUUCGGUCCACUUCCACCA